UAGGGAAUCUUCCGCAAUGGUCGAAGGCUUGACGGAGCAACGCCGCGUGAGUGAUGAAGGUCUUCGGAUCGUAAAACUCUGUUAUUAGGGAAGAACAAAUGUGUAAGUAACUAUGCACGUCUUGACGGUACCUAAUCAGAAAGCCACGGCUAACUACGUGCCAGCAGCCGCGGUAAUACGUAGGUGGCAAGCGUUAUCCGGAAUUAUUGGGCGUAAAGCGCGCGUAGGCGGUUUUUUAAGUCUGAUGUGAAAGCCCACGGCUCAACCGUGGAGGGUCAUUGGAAACUGGAAAACUUGAGUGCAGAAGAGGAAAGUGGAAUUCCAUGUGUAGCGGUGAAAUGCGCAGAGAUAUGGAGGAACACCAGUGGCGAAGGCGACUUUCUGGUCUGUAACUGACGCUGAUGUGCGAAAGCGUGGGGAUCAAACAGG
Molecule: ribosomal RNA, 429 nt
Filed under: Actinomycetes bacterium
Lineage: Bacteria; Bacillati; Actinomycetota; Actinomycetes
Description: Actinobacteria bacterium partial 16S ribosomal RNA
Rfam family: Bacterial small subunit ribosomal RNA
Source: RNAcentral